RNAcentral lists this ribosomal RNA (854 nucleotides) under uncultured beta proteobacterium. RNAcentral describes it as "bacterial SSU rRNA". It matches the Rfam family "Bacterial small subunit ribosomal RNA", at positions 37 to 892 of the family's 1533-position model. Lineage: Bacteria; Pseudomonadati; Pseudomonadota; Betaproteobacteria. The record is from RNAcentral.
GGGCUCGAGCGCACAUACAUGCAGUCGACGGUAGAGGGGGCAACCCCUUGAGAGUGGCGAACGGGUGAGUAAUAUAUCGGAACGUGCCCAGUCGUGGGGGAUAACGUAGCGAAAGUUACGCUAAUACCGCAUACGAUCUACGGAUGAAAGCGGGGGAUCGCAAGACCUCGCGCGACUGGAGCGGCCGAUAUCAGAUUAGGUAGUUGGUGGGGUAAAGGCUCACCAAGCCAACGAUCUGUAGCUGGUCUGAGAGGACGACCAGCCACACUGGAACUGAGACACGGUCCAGACUCCUACGGGAGGCAGCAGUGGGGAAUUUUGGACAAUGGACGCAAGUCUGAUCCAGCCAUUCCGCGUGCAGGAUGAAGGCCCUCGGGUUGUAAACUGCUUUUGUACGGAACGAAAAGGUCUCUCCUAAUACGAGAGGCUCAUGACGGUACCGUAAGAAUAAGCACCGGCUAACUACGUGCCAGCAGCCGCGGUAAUACGUAGGGUGCAAGCGUUAAUCGGAAUUACUGGGCGUAAAGCGUGCGCAGGCGGUUAUAUAAGACAGAUGUGAAAUCCCCGGGCUCAACCUGGGAACUGCAUUUGUGACUGUAUAGCUAGAGUACGGUAGAGGGGGAUGGAAUUCCGCGUGUAGCAGUGAAAUGCGUAGAUAUGCGGAGGAACACCGAUGGCGAAGGCAAUCCCCUGGACCUGUACUGACGCUCAGGUGCGAAAGCGUGGGGAGCAAACAGGAUUAGAUACCCUGGUAGUCCACGCCGUAAACGAUGUCGACUUGGAGGUUGUGCCCUUGAGGCGUGGCUUCCGGAGCUAACGCGUUAAGUCGACCGCCUGGGGAGUACGGCCGCAAG